GCUUUGGGAACUGCAACUGUUUCAACUUCCUGCAAAGCAGCGAUUCCGAUUUCUUUCUUUGCAACUCAGGCAGUUAGUUUGGGUUGCUAUUCGGAGAUCUCAGAGAGGUGAAGAUCAACUCCAGAAUGUUGCCAAUUACAGUGGUUUGAUUGUUAACUCCUUAAAAAGCUGUUUGACAUAGAACUAGACAUGGAUAACACCAGCAAAAAGCCAGAAUCAGAGUCUUUACCAACCGGUGUUUUUGAGUUGCUAGGGGAACCUGCCAUUUUUAUCAAUGGGUUGCCAGAAAUCUCUCCAGAUGACAGUUCUGUUGUUCUCUCAAGCACUGUGAGUGAUGCAGAAUCACAAAGAAACACAAGUCUAGCUGCAGAAUUUCUUGAAAAUGCUGUUUUUGGUGAAUGGUUGGAAGGAAGGGAAGUUCAAAAGUUGUUUGGAGGCCAAUACUAUACUGGUACUGUGGCUCAGUUUGACAAGGAAACUGGCUGGUACAGAGUGGUGUAUGAAGAUGGUGACUUCGAAGAUCUUGACUGGCAUGAGUUGGAAGAUGUCCUUUUGCCUCUGGAUAUUACAGUUCCACUAAAAUCAUUGGCGCUGAAAAUCAUAAAGAAGGGCCAGAAAACCAUUUACACUCCUGGGCAAAGUGUGACUGGAUGCAAAAUUGGCAAGACUAAAAGUGCAGGAAGUAAAGGGAACGAAGAUAGGGGCGCAUAAUUAAAUUUCAAUACCUGAGAUUAAUAACAGAUGGUGAACAUGAAUAUUUGAGUGCACUAAGGUUGUUGAAUUUGUAAAAUCGAGUUGCAAGAUGAAUCAAACAGAGAGUCAUAUACUUUAUGUUUCACAUUUGUUAUUAUGUACCAUGUAAUGUCGACUUGACUUAAGCAUGACUGCACAAUUGUUGUAGGAGGGGGA
RNAcentral lists this unclassified non-coding RNA (909 nucleotides) under Hevea brasiliensis (rubber tree). The record is from RNAcentral. Lineage: Eukaryota; Viridiplantae; Streptophyta; Magnoliopsida; Malpighiales; Euphorbiaceae.